RNAcentral lists this ribosomal RNA (465 nucleotides) under Vreelandella stevensii. RNAcentral's name for it is "partial 16S ribosomal RNA". It matches the Rfam family "Bacterial small subunit ribosomal RNA", at positions 338 to 795 of the family's 1533-position model. Lineage: Bacteria; Pseudomonadati; Pseudomonadota; Gammaproteobacteria; Oceanospirillales; Halomonadaceae. The record is from RNAcentral.
CCUACGGGGGGCUGCAGUGGGGAAUAUUGGACAAUGGGCGAAAGCCUGAUCCAGCCAUGCCGCGUGUGUGAAGAAGGCCUUCGGGUUGUAAAGCACUUUCAGUGGGGAAGAAAGCCUUGGGGCUAAUACCCUCGAGGAAGGACAUCACCCACAGAAGCAGCACCGGCUAACUCCGUGCCAGCAGCCGCGGUAAUACGGAGGGUGCGAGCGUUAAUCGGAAUUACUGGGCGUAAAGCGCGCGUAGGCGGUCUGAUAAGCCGGUUGUGAAAGCCCCGGGCUCAACCUGGGAACGGCAUCCGGAACUGUCAGGCUAGAGUGCAGGAGAGGAAGGUAGAAUUCCCGGUGUAGCGGUGAAAUGCGUAGAGAUCGGGAGGAAUACCAGUGGCGAAGGCGGCCUUCUGGACUGACACUGACGCUGAGGUGCGAAAGCGUGGGUAGCAAACAGGAUUAGAUACCCGAGUAGUC